AUGAGCUACACCAGUCAUCAACUAGAAAAGCAAAGAGAAGGAGGCGGAGAUAAAAGAGCUAACCAGAUUCACAAAGUCCUAUGGCUAUUCUCAUGGGAGAAUAGGGGCUACUUCCUGAGAAGUCCCAACCAUGGGCUCCAGGGACAAAUAGCUCCAGGAAAUCCUUCAUCUCUUUGCAACCCACAGAUACUCAGAUACUCAUCUAGAGCCUCCACCUGGGAUGCUUGUCACCAGGUCCCUUUGAGCAGUCACUUGAGCCACCUGGUGGCAAAGCUUGGAGCUUUGCGAGGAGAGCAGCCAGGUGAACAACUGUCUAUGACUGCAGGUGGAGCAGCAGUUGGAUGGUGGGGGGCAGGAGGGCGGUAUGCAAAGCCAGCCUCAGCCCCUCCUCUGUCAACCAGGACAUCCCAACCCACACAGAGCCUGGAAACCAGCAGCACCCCUUCCAAGGUAAGAAGGAAAAAGUGCCAGGAAGCCCACAGUCCAUGGGACCGCACCAAGAUGUCUGUGGCAGAAGGGGUAAUCUUGCCUCUUCUGAUCUCCUUAGGCUUGGGGUGAAAUCAGAGGCUUCAAUAGAGAGUCUUGGGUGAGAGCAUGGGAUUUAGGUCAGACCUGGCUCCGGAUUUGGAGUUUGCCACAUACAGGUUGCUUGUCUUGGGCAAGGUGUUUUAAUUCUGCAGAUAUUCAAGCCUUAGUUUCCUCACUUUAAGGUGGGAAUAUAACAACAGAGAGAGAGUACAGUUAUUUGGAGCAUUAUGUGAAAUAAUUUGCAAGUGCCUGCCACAAUAAGAAUUGCUCAACAAGUAACAGUUUUAUAAAUUAAUAUCUAUCUCUUGUAUUCGUGGAGUGCUUUAAAAUUUACCAAGUCUUCAAAUAUUUUCAUCUGUGGUCGGGCAGGAUUAUGCUCUCUGUAUUUGACUUGAGAAAACUCAGGCAUUGAGACAUUAAUUGACAUGCUAAGGUUUAUAGCAGCUGAGAAACCAACCCAGGAUUUGGAACUGACUUUUUUAAAUACUUAAAAUUUUUUUAUUUUUUAAAAGAUUUUAUCUAUUUAUUCAUGAGAGACACACACAGAGAGAGAGACAGAGACAAUAGGCAGAAGGAGAAGCAUGUUCCAUUCAGGGAACCUGAUGGGUGACUUGAUCCUGGGACUCCGGGAUCAUGCCCUGAGCCAAAGGCAGACACUCAACCACUGAUCCACCCAGGUGCCCAUUGACAUUUUUAAAAAAGUAUUCUCUGAUGUGAUGUGGGCUAGGAGUGAAGGGUCAAGAAAGGAUACUUGAGACAUUUCCAGUGCAAUAAAAGGGUAGUUUUAUCAUAUAGCA
This 1325-nucleotide long non-coding RNA is filed under the name Vulpes vulpes (red fox). RNAcentral describes it as "lncRNA (ENSVVUG00000022123.1)". The record is from RNAcentral. Lineage: Eukaryota; Metazoa; Chordata; Mammalia; Carnivora; Canidae.